UCUCUACUAAACCUAAUCUACUCAGUAAUAUCCACACACGGACGCAAACCUCGACCGGCGAUGCGGACUCGCUCCUCCUCGACAUCCUCACCUCCGGCGAUGCGGACUCGCUCCUCCUCGACAUCCUCUCUUCCGGCGGCGAAGCGGGCGCGCUCCUCCUCUCCUCUGGCGGUGAAGCGGCGACGCGAGCGCGCUCCUCCUCAACAUUCUCUUCCGUCGAGAUUCCCACCCGCUCCAGCUGCCAUCCAUGGGGAUAGUGGACUGAUGCUGAUUCUGUUUUAGACGCCCUCAGGCUUUGCAAUUUUCACAUUUUGUGGGUUACUUAUUAACCGACCAAAUGCUGUGGAGGUGUACUAUAUGUUCUUCCUUCCUAGGUUACGGAUGUGCUUGCUUUCUCUUGUUGUCUAUGUCAAUUACCUAAUUUUCUGUUUUAUCCUUGUCUCUUCCAGGAAAUAUGGGUUAACUUUAGUGAUAGUCGGAAGGCAAAACGUGUUAGUGCCCACUUCUUUCGUUUGAUUCCCUGCUUCUGAUUGUUAUUUUCUUAUGUUGUUCGCCGCCAAAUUAAUCCUACUAGUUAUCUUGCACCAUUCA
This is a long non-coding RNA of Triticum dicoccoides, 591 nucleotides long. RefSeq lists it as uncharacterized. NCBI's taxonomy places the organism in Eukaryota, Viridiplantae, Streptophyta, Magnoliopsida, Poales, Poaceae. The record is from RefSeq and is a predicted model, not a curated record. The transcript is spliced from 2 exons.